UCAGUGACUAUGGUUGAUCUUGCU
This 24-nucleotide non-coding RNA is filed under the name Arabidopsis thaliana (thale cress). The record is from RNAcentral. Lineage: Eukaryota; Viridiplantae; Streptophyta; Magnoliopsida; Brassicales; Brassicaceae.